UAAUACGUAGGGUCCGAGCGUUGUCCGGAUUUAUUGGGCGUAAAGAGCUCGUAGGCGGCUCAGUAAGUCGGAUGUGAAAACUCGGGGCUCAACCCCGAGACGCCAUCCGAUACUGCUGUGGCUUGAGUCUGGUAGGGGAGCACGGAAUUCCUGGUGUAGCGGUGAAAUGCGCAGAUAUCAGGAGGAACACCGGUGGCGAAGGCGGUGCUCUGGGCCAGUACUGACGCUGAGGAGCGAAAGCGUGGGGAGCAAACAGGAUUAGAUACCCUGGUAGUCCACGCCGUAAACGUUGGGCACUAGGUGUGGGUCCUCAUUGACGGGAUCCGUGCCGUAGCUAACGCAUUAAGUGCCCCGCCUGGGGAGUACGGCCGCAAGGCUA
Molecule: ribosomal RNA, 379 nt
Filed under: uncultured bacterium
Lineage: Bacteria
Description: bacterial SSU rRNA
Rfam family: Bacterial small subunit ribosomal RNA
Source: RNAcentral